AACAGAAAACAAAAGUAUUAAGAAUACAAAUUAAUUAACCAUACUACUCCAGAACCGUUAAAUAAUAUCUAAAUUUUGCAAAGCCUUCUACACUCAAUUCCUUAAGAACAAUGAAGCAAACUCUUCUGAAUUUUGACUCCCCCUUACUAUUUUCUUGAAGGAAAAAGAAAAAGAUCACAAAGUUUCUCCGGUUCUACCCACUGAAGAAGCUUCUUACAGAUUUCUGUCUCUCGAAAAUUCUCUAAAAAUUUCUACGAACUCAACAGGGAUGAGAUUCUUUGUUUUGCCUAUAAAAAGAGAGUUGGAGGAGGAAAACGGGAGGCUUUUCAUCGGGCAAGAGAUUCGAACAUAUAA
This 354-nucleotide long non-coding RNA is filed under the name Carica papaya (papaya). RNAcentral's name for it is "long non-coding RNA (CPAP_LNC011614)". Lineage: Eukaryota; Viridiplantae; Streptophyta; Magnoliopsida; Brassicales; Caricaceae. The record is from RNAcentral.